This 429-nucleotide ribosomal RNA is filed under the name uncultured bacterium. Its description in RNAcentral is "bacterial SSU rRNA". It matches the Rfam family "Bacterial small subunit ribosomal RNA", at positions 8 to 447 of the family's 1533-position model. The record is from RNAcentral.
AGAGUUUGAUCCUGGCUCAGGACGAACGCUGGCGGCGUGCCUAACACAUGCAAGUCACGGGGGCCCGCAAGGGUAACCGGCGAACGGGUGCGUAACACGUGAGCAAUCUGCCGAUUUCUGGGGGAUAGCCGGUCCAACGACCGGGUAAUACCGCAUACGCUCAUUGGGGGGCAUUCCCCGAUGAGGAAACCUCCGGGGGAAAUCGAGGAGCUCGCGGCCUAUCAGCUAGUUGGUGCGGUAACGGCGCACCAAGGCGACGACGGGUAGCUGGUCUGAGAGGAUGGCCAGCCACAUUGGGACUGCGACACGGCCCAGACUCCUACGGGAGGCAGCAGUGGGGAAUAUUGCGCAAUGGACGAAAGUCUGACGCAGCGACGCCGCGUGUGGGAUGAAGCUUUUCGGAAGGGUAAACCACUGUUGCCCGGGACG